This 23-nucleotide non-coding RNA is filed under the name Cricetulus griseus (Chinese hamster). Lineage: Eukaryota; Metazoa; Chordata; Mammalia; Rodentia; Cricetidae. The record is from RNAcentral.
AUCUGAACGCGGAGGAUGUCUAC